This 992-nucleotide long non-coding RNA is filed under the name Vitis vinifera (wine grape). RNAcentral's name for it is "long non-coding RNA (VVIN_LNC003178)". Lineage: Eukaryota; Viridiplantae; Streptophyta; Magnoliopsida; Vitales; Vitaceae. The record is from RNAcentral.
UUACGACGGUAACAAGUCUCAAUGGUGUGGCCAGGACGCUUGCAAUAGUUGCAGAACUUCUUGUUGGUUUGCUUGCGACGAUUGCUAGAGCCAGAAAAAUCACCUAAUUGCUGAGGUUGCUCUAUGAGUGGAGUAGAUGGAGUAAUAGCCAAAAUAUUGAGCUUAUUCUGGGCUUGAAGGGUUGCAAGACGAGCUUCUUCUCUAACCAACUCAUUCACAGCAGUAUCAAGAGAGGGAGCAGGACUGCGAUUUAACAGCUGACCACGAAUGGGCUCAAAGUCCUUGUGAAGUGACAUCAAGAAUUCAUAGAGGCGAAAUUCAUCUCUAAUGGUAGCAUAUUGCUGAGCAUCUGUGGAGCAUCCCCAAGUUGGAUCAGAAAGGUCAAUUUGGUCCCAAAUGAAGCGAAGCUGAUCAUAAUAGUCAUUGAUGGAUUGCCCCGGUUCUUGCCUGAGUUGAUGCAAUUCAACCACUAACUGAUAUUUCAUGGAUCCAUGAGUAGUGGAGUACCUUUUGGUCAACAUAUCCCAUGCAGAUUUUGCAUCGUCAAAGCUGCCCAAUAGGUUGGAAAUAGAGGGAAUGGAAGUGUUCCGGAUCCAUGUGAGGAUCAUGUGGUUAUGACUAUCCCAUUCAAUCAUGCGACUAAGAAAGACAGCAUCUUCUUCACUUGCUCCUUUGACAGGAAUAGUCAUUGCACCAGUACAAUAAUGCCAGAGCAUGCGGCUCUUAAGAAAACUGCGCAUAGCUUGAGACCAGGAUAAGUAAUUUUUAGUCCCCUCCAAUACAGUAUGGAUGGGGCGAGGAAGAAAAACAUCCUUCUUAUCCAUUUAGGGACGCAAUAUGCAAAAACCGACUGCAGAAAUGAAAUCUAUACGAAAAACUGGGUAAGGAGAACCUGGUCGGGGAAAAAGUCAACUGGACGGUCAACGGUCAAGGUUCGGUCAACGGCCAACGGUCAAAGUCAACGGUCAACGGUCAACGCUGGUCAACGGUCA